RNAcentral lists this ribosomal RNA (783 nucleotides) under uncultured marine bacterium. RNAcentral describes it as "bacterial SSU rRNA". It matches the Rfam family "Bacterial small subunit ribosomal RNA", at positions 14 to 794 of the family's 1533-position model. The record is from RNAcentral.
UGAUCCUGGCUCAGAUUGAACGCUGGCGGCAGGCCUAACACAUGCAAGUCGAACGGUAGCAUAUCUUGCUUGCAAGAUGGUGACGAGUGGCGGACGGGUGAGUAAUACUUAGGAACAUGCCUUUGAGUGGGGGAUAACUAUUGGAAACGAUAGCUAAUACCGCAUAACGUCUACGGACCAAAGGGGGCUUCGGCUCUCGCUCAGAGAGUGGCCUAAGCGAGAUUAGCUAGUUGGUGAGGUAAAGGCUCACCAAGGCGACGAUCUCUAGCUGUUCUGAGAGGAAGAUCAGCCACACUGGGACUGAGACACGGCCCAGACUCCUACGGGAGGCAGCAGUGGGGAAUAUUGCACAAUGGGGGGAACCCUGAUGCAGCCAUGCCGCGUGUGUGAAGAAGGCCUUCGGGUUGUAAAGCACUUUCAGUUGUGAGGAAAGGUUAGUAGUUAAUACCUGCUAGCUGUGACGUUAGCAACAGAAGAAGCACCGGCUAACUCCGUGCCAGCAGCCGCGGUAAUACGGAGGGUGCGAGCGUUAAUCGGAAUUACUGGGCGUAAAGCGCACGCAGGUGGUUUGUUAAGCUAGAUGUGAAAGCCCAGGGCUCAACCUUGGAAUAGCAUUUAGAACUGGCAGGCUAGAGUCUUGGAGAGGGGAGUGGAAUUCCAGGUGUAGCGGUGAAAUGCGUAGAGAUCUGGAGGAACAUCAGUGGCGAAGGCGACUCCCUGGCCAAAGACUGACACUCAUGUGCGAAAGUGUGGGUAGCGAACAGGAUUAGAUACCCUGGUAGU